This 328-nucleotide ribosomal RNA is filed under the name uncultured bacterium. RNAcentral describes it as "bacterial SSU rRNA". It matches the Rfam family "Bacterial small subunit ribosomal RNA", at positions 28 to 334 of the family's 1533-position model. The record is from RNAcentral.
GACGAACGCUGGCGGCAUGCCUAAUACAUGCAAGUCGAACGCUUUAAUUUCACCGGGUGCUUGCACCCAUCGGAGUUAAGGAGUGGCGGACGGGUGAGUAACUCGUGGGUAACCUGCCCAUAAGAGGGGGAUAACAUUCGGAAACGGAUGCUAAUACCGCAUAUUUCUAAUCGUCUCCUGACGAAUGGAAGAAAGGUGGCUUCGGCUACCGCUUAUGGAUGGACCCGCGGCGUAUUAGCUAGUUGGUGAGGUAAUGGCUCACCAAGGCGAUGAUACGUAGCCGGACUGAGAGGUUGAACGGCCACAUUGGGACUGAGACACGGCCCAG